Urocitellus parryii (Arctic ground squirrel) is the source of this 406-nucleotide long non-coding RNA. RefSeq lists it as uncharacterized. NCBI's taxonomy places the organism in Eukaryota, Metazoa, Chordata, Mammalia, Rodentia, Sciuridae. The record is from RefSeq and is a predicted model, not a curated record.
CCUGUGACCCUCCUCGCAUUUUCAAUUCAGUGCAUACCGGUACUGGGGAAUUACAGUGGGCACGUGCGCGCUUGCGGGUUUGCUUGUGCUAUCCUUGUGAGUAGAGGUGGCCUGAUGUGCUCUCAGUCGUGAUAGUGGCCUCUAGAGACCUCCGCCGUAUCUUUUCCUGCUCGCCAGUUCCUGGCCCAGUACACUUUGAAUUCAAACGCCCUGGAAGGAGGAUGCAGCAACAAGGCACCACCUUGAAAGGAAAUAUCAGCUCUCAGCAGACAUGAAUCCUACCAGCCCCUUGAUCUUGGACUUCCCCUCUUCCAGAACUAUUCCCAGCCUGCAGUAUCAUGCUGUUCACCAUAGAGACCUGAGGAGCCCCCAUCUCAUUGGUAUCAUAUUUACAAAUGAACCCUUA